AACGAACGCUGGCGGCAGGCUUAACACAUGCAAGUCGAGCGCCCCGCAAGGGGAGCGGCAGCCGGGUGAGUAACGCGUGGGAACGUACCUUUUGGUUCGGAACAACUCCGGGACACUGGAGCUAAUACCGGAUAAGCCCUAACGGGGAAAGAUUUAUCGCCGAAAGAUCGGCCCGCGUCUGAUUAGCUAGUUGGUGAGGUAACGGCUCACCAAGGCGACGAUCAGUAGCUGGUCUGAGAGGAUGAUCAGCCACACUGGGACUGAGACACGGCCCAGACUCCUACGGGAGGCAGCAGUGGGGAAUAUUGGACAAUGGGCGCAAGCCUGAUCCAGCCAUGCCGCGUGAGUGAUGAAGGCCUUAGGGUUGUAAAGCUCUUUUGUCCGGGAAGAUAAUGACUGUACCGGAAGAAUAAGCCCCGGCUAACUUCGUG
Molecule: ribosomal RNA, 431 nt
Filed under: uncultured bacterium
Lineage: Bacteria
Description: partial 16S ribosomal RNA
Rfam family: Bacterial small subunit ribosomal RNA
Source: RNAcentral